GAUGAACGCUGGCGGCGUGCCUAAUACAUGCAAGUCGAGCGAACAGACGAGGAGCUUGCUCCUCUGACGUUAGCGGCGGACGGGUGAGUAACAUGUGGAUAACCUACCUAUAAGACUGGGAUAACUUCGGGAAACCGGAGCUAAUACCGGAUAAUAUAUUGAACCGCAUGGUUCAAUAGUGAAAGACGGUUUUGCUGUCACUUAUAGAUGGAUCCGCGCCGCAUUAGCUAGUUGGUAAGGUAACGGCUUACCAAGGCAACGGUGCGUAGCCGACCUGAGAGGGUGAUCGGCCACACUGGAACUGAGACACGGUCCAGACUCCUACGGGAGGCAGCAGUAGGGAAUCUUCCGCAAUGGGCGAAAGCCUGACGGAGCAACGCCGCGUGAGUGAUGAAGGUCUUCGGAUCGUAAAACUCUGUUAUUAGGGAAGAACAAAUGUGUAAGUAACUAUGCACGUCUUGACGGUACCUAAUCAGAAAGCCACGGCUAACUACGUG
Molecule: ribosomal RNA, 497 nt
Filed under: uncultured bacterium
Lineage: Bacteria
Description: partial 16S ribosomal RNA
Rfam family: Bacterial small subunit ribosomal RNA
Source: RNAcentral